Molecule: transfer RNA, 73 nt
Filed under: Dendronephthya gigantea
Lineage: Eukaryota; Metazoa; Cnidaria; Anthozoa; Malacalcyonacea; Nephtheidae
Description: tRNA-Ala
Rfam family: tRNA
About the family: Transfer RNA (tRNA) molecules are approximately 80 nucleotides in length.
Source: RNAcentral
UACCUUGUAGCUCAGUUGGAAGAGCAUUGGACUAGCAAACCAAAGGUCGUGGGUUUGAUUCCCACCGUGGUCA